AGGUACUUGGUCGAGUCUGGUUUAUGGCGCUCGCCUUGAAAGCGAGUACUUUUUUUGAAGUCGUCGGUUCGAAUCCGGCAGUACCUG
RNAcentral lists this transfer RNA (87 nucleotides) under Cyathus pallidus. RNAcentral describes it as "tRNA-Ser". It matches the Rfam family "tRNA". From Rfam's summary of the family: Transfer RNA (tRNA) molecules are approximately 80 nucleotides in length. Lineage: Eukaryota; Fungi; Basidiomycota; Agaricomycetes; Agaricales; Nidulariaceae. The record is from RNAcentral.